This 426-nucleotide ribosomal RNA is filed under the name uncultured bacterium. RNAcentral's name for it is "partial 16S ribosomal RNA". It matches the Rfam family "Bacterial small subunit ribosomal RNA", at positions 354 to 796 of the family's 1533-position model. The record is from RNAcentral.
GUGAGGAAUUUUCCGCAAUGGGCGAAAGCCUGACGGAGCAAUGCCGCGUGAAGGAUGAAGGCCUAUGGGUUGUAAACUUCUUUUCUCAGAAAAGAAUUAUGACGGUAUCUGAGGAAUAAGCAUCGGCUAACUCUGUGCCAGCAGCCGCGGUAAGACAGAGGAUGCAAGCGUUAUCCGGAAUGAUUGGGCGUAAAGCGUCUGUAGGUUGUUUAAAAAGUAUUCUGUCAAAGAUUAGGGCUUAACCCUAGAUAGGCAGAAUAAACUUUUAAGCUAGAGUUUGGUAGAGGCAGAGGGAAUUCCCGGUGGAGCGGUAAAAUGCGUAGAUAUCGGGAGGAACACCAAAGGCGAAGGCACUCUGCUGGGCCAAUACUAACACUGAGAGACGAAAGCGAGGGGAGCAAAUGGGAUUAGAUACCCGUGUAGUCC